AAUGGUUAUGUUACAUGCACAAUGUGGUAAAUAGAAGGUACUUCAUUGUAAAGCUUUUUCUGUUUUCAGCUGUGCAUCUUUUACCUCAAGAAAGAGGACUUAAAACUCUUGAAUAGAUGUGUCAUUGUAAAGCUUUUUCUGUUUUCAGCUAUGCAUCUUUUACCUCAAGAAAGAGGACUUAAAACUCUUGAAUAGAUGUGAACACAUUGGCCCCCAAACCCUUUAACUUGAAUCUUGUUAGUACAAUCUUAUUUGAUACUUCUCCUCUUUUAACCCUAUAUUCAUGACUUUUUCUUCUCCG
RNAcentral lists this long non-coding RNA (301 nucleotides) under Nicotiana benthamiana. RNAcentral describes it as "long non-coding RNA (NBEN_LNC028362)". Lineage: Eukaryota; Viridiplantae; Streptophyta; Magnoliopsida; Solanales; Solanaceae. The record is from RNAcentral.